GGGUUGUGAGGUUAAGCGACUAAGCGUACACGGUGGAUGCCCUGGCAGUCAGAGGCGAUGAAGGNNNNNNNNNNNNNNNNNNNNNNNCCGAAUGGGGAAACCCAGUGUGAUUCGUCACACUAUCAUUAACUGAAUCCAUAGGUUAAUGAGGCGAACCGGGGGAACUGAAACAUCUAAGUACCCCGAGGAAAAGAAAUCAACCGAGAUUCCCCCAGUAGCGGCGAGCGAACGGGGAGGAGCCCAGAGCCUGAAUCAGCAUGUGUGUUAGUGGAAGCGUCUGGAAAGGCGCGCGAUACAGGGUGACAGCCCCGUACACAAAAGCGCAUGUGCUGUGAGCUCGAUGAGUAGGGCGGGACACGUGGUAUCCUGUCUGAAUAUGGGGGGACCAUCCUCCAAGGCUAAAUACUCCUGACUGACCGAUAGUGAACCAGUACCGUGAGGGAAAGGCGAAAAGAACCCCGGCGAGGGGAGUGAAAAAGAACCUGAAACCGUGUACGUACAAGCAGUGGGAGC
RNAcentral lists this ribosomal RNA (513 nucleotides) under Salmonella enterica subsp. enterica serovar Typhimurium. RNAcentral describes it as "partial 23S ribosomal RNA". It matches the Rfam family "Bacterial large subunit ribosomal RNA", at positions 1 to 580 of the family's 2925-position model. Lineage: Bacteria; Pseudomonadati; Pseudomonadota; Gammaproteobacteria; Enterobacterales; Enterobacteriaceae. The record is from RNAcentral.